CCUCCCCCACCCCAUAAAUUCGGGUUAAAAAGGGUCUUUUUACCCCACAUUUUUGGGGUUAAAAAUGUCUUUUCUGACCCAUAAAUUUGGGGUCAAAAGGGUCUUUUCUGCCCCAGAACUCUGGGCUAAAAAGGGUCUUUUCUGCCCUAUAAAUUUGGGGUAAAAAAAUGUCCUUUCUGCUCCAUAAAUUUGGGGUAAAAAGAGUCAAUUCUGCCCCAUAAAUUUGGGGUAAAAAAGGUUCUUACUGCCCCAUAAGUUUGGGGUAAAAAGGGUCUUUUUUACCCAACAAAUUUGGGGUAAAAAAGGUCCUUUCUGCCCCAGAAAUCUGGGGUAAAAAGGGUCAAUUCUGCCCCAUAAAUUUGGGGUAAAAAAAGUCAUUUCUGCCCCACAAGUUUGGGGUAAAAAGGGUCUUUUUUACCCAACAAGUUUGGGGUCAAAAAGGUCCUUUCUGCCCCAUAAAUUUGGGGUAAAAAGGGUCCUUUCUGCCCCACAGAUUUGGGG
Corapipo altera (White-ruffed manakin) is the source of this 501-nucleotide long non-coding RNA. RefSeq lists it as uncharacterized. The transcript is spliced from 2 exons. NCBI's taxonomy places the organism in Eukaryota, Metazoa, Chordata, Aves, Passeriformes, Pipridae. The record is from RefSeq and is a predicted model, not a curated record.